Molecule: ribosomal RNA, 483 nt
Filed under: uncultured bacterium
Lineage: Bacteria
Description: partial 16S ribosomal RNA
Rfam family: Bacterial small subunit ribosomal RNA
Source: RNAcentral
GACGAACGCUGGCGGCGUGCUUAACACAUGCAAGUCGAACGCUGAAGCUCAGCUUUUGUUGGGUGGAUGAGUGGCGAACGGGUGAGUAACACGUGAGUAACCUGCCCCCUUCUUUGGGAUAACGCCCGGAAACGGGUGCUAAUACUGGAUAUUCACUGGUCUUCGCAUGGGGGUUGGUGGAAAGGGUUUUUCUAGUGGGGGAUGGGCUCGCGGCCUAUCAGCUUGUUGGUGGGGUGAUGGCCUACCAAGGCUUUGACGGGUAGCCGGCCUGAGAGGGUGACCGGUCACAUUGGGACUGAGAUACGGCCCAGACUCCUACGGGAGGCAGCAGUGGGGAAAAUUGCACAAUGGGCGCAAGCCUGAUGCAGCGACGCCGCGUGAGGGAUGGAGGCCUUCGGGUUGUGAACCUCUUUCGCUCAUGGUCAAGCCGCAACAAUGGUUGUGGUGAGGGUAGUGGGUAAAGAAGCGCCGGCUAACUACGUG